UACGUAGGGUGCAAGCGUUGUCCGGAAUUAUUGGGCGUAAAGAGCUCGUAGGCGGUUUGUCGCGUCUGCUGUGAAAACUCAGGGCUUAACCCUGAGCCUGCAGUGGGUACGGGCAGACUAGAGUGUGGUAGGGGAGAUCGGAAUUCCUGGUGUAGCGGUGGAAUGCGCAGAUAUCAGGAGGAACACCGGUGGCGAAGGCGGAUCUCUGGGCCAUAACUGACGCUGAGGAGCGAAAGCCAGGGGAGCAAACGGG
RNAcentral lists this ribosomal RNA (253 nucleotides) under uncultured bacterium. RNAcentral's name for it is "partial 16S ribosomal RNA". It matches the Rfam family "Bacterial small subunit ribosomal RNA", at positions 524 to 776 of the family's 1533-position model. The record is from RNAcentral.